RNAcentral lists this ribosomal RNA (492 nucleotides) under uncultured bacterium. RNAcentral's name for it is "partial 16S ribosomal RNA". It matches the Rfam family "Bacterial small subunit ribosomal RNA", at positions 29 to 507 of the family's 1533-position model. The record is from RNAcentral.
AGUGAACGCUGGCGGUAGGCCUAACACAUGCAAGUCGAACGGCAGCACAGUAAGAGCUUGCUCUUACGGGUGGCGAGUGGCGGACGGGUGAGGAAUACAUCGGAAUCUACUUUUUCGUGGGGGAUAACGUAGGGAAACUUACGCUAAUACCGCAUACGACCUACGGGUGAAAGCAGGGGAUCUUCGGACCUUGCGCGAUUGAAUGAGCCGAUGUCGGAUUAGCUAGUUGGCGGGGUAAAGGCCCACCAAGGCGACGAUCCGUAGCUGGUCUGAGAGGAUGAGCAGCCACACUGGAACUGAGACACGGUCCAGACUCCUACGGGAGGCAGCAGUGGGGAAUAUUGGACAAUGGGCGCAAGCCUGAUCCAGCCAUACCGCGUGGGUGAAGAAGGCCUUCGGGUUGUAAAGCCCUUUUGUUGGGAAAGAAAAGCAGCAGGUUAAUACCCAGCUGUUCUGACGGUACCCAAAGAAUAAGCACCGGCUAACUUCGUG